AACAGAACCCACAACAACCAUGACUUUUAUCACCAUCUUCAUCUGGAUAUUUGCCCUCUGUCUCCAAGAAUCCAGAGGCCAGGUCACUGUAACUCAGACCCCUGCAGUGAAAGCUGUUCUACCAGGACAGACAGUCUCUCUGAACUGUAA
Molecule: long non-coding RNA, 150 nt
Organism: Coregonus clupeaformis (lake whitefish)
Lineage: Eukaryota; Metazoa; Chordata; Actinopteri; Salmoniformes; Salmonidae
Exons: 3
Source: RefSeq, a predicted model, not a curated record